ACCUACGGGGGGCAGCAGUAGGGAAUCUUCCACAAUGGACGAAAGUCUGAUGGAGCAACGCCGCGUGAGUGAAGAAGGGUUUCGGCUCGUAAAGCUCUGUUGGUAGUGAAGAAAGAUAGAGGUAGUAACUGGCCUUUAUUUGACGGUAAUUACUUAGAAAGUCACGGCUAACUACGUUCCAGCAGCCGCGGUAAUACGUAGGUGGCAAGCGUUAUCCGGAUUUAUUGGGGGUAAAGGGCGUGUAGGCGGGGUUGCA
RNAcentral lists this ribosomal RNA (256 nucleotides) under uncultured bacterium. RNAcentral's name for it is "partial 16S ribosomal RNA". It matches the Rfam family "Bacterial small subunit ribosomal RNA", at positions 337 to 585 of the family's 1533-position model. The record is from RNAcentral.